Molecule: long non-coding RNA, 4971 nt
Organism: Talpa occidentalis (Iberian mole)
Lineage: Eukaryota; Metazoa; Chordata; Mammalia; Eulipotyphla; Talpidae
Exons: 3
Source: RefSeq, a predicted model, not a curated record
CAUCGUGUCACGUGACCAACCGGCAAGUCACGUGACGGGGAACAGGCACUAGCCGGACCUGGAGGAUCUGCUGGUGUUUUUUGGCGCUGUGCUUUUUUGGGAGCAGAGGAUAGGAACCAUCUCACUCCCCCUCUCGCAAAUACCUUAGUUUCGGGUAGUGUCCAGCGAUGGGGAAAUGAGGCCUCUCUUACCAUGUCUGGCUGGCGGCGACCCAGAUGCCACGUGAUGGUCAUUUGAAGACAGGACUGCUGGACAUCAGUUUAUAUUCAGGUGUCCUGUGGUGUUGGUAUUGAUCUGAGCUGAUGCUGGACGCAGGGCAGCACCCAACUAACUACGCUGAUGUUCAAGGUAUCAGAGCAGCUCACAUUGGUCUGAAACUUUUCCAAAAGUUCAUGAAAGAUGCUGAGUGACUAGAACGUCCACAUGAAGAGAAACGAUACCCGAGGCCCAAGGACUCCUAAUAACAGUAAUGAUCUUUGCAAGAACUAGUCACUUUUUAACUGGUACCUUUUAGCCUGUAUCAUGCUGCUGUGCUGUGUCACUCUGUCCACUAACAGCUCCAUAAUGGAGCGCGCACCUGGUAAGUGCUGAGGUCAGGAUUCAGACCCCCACAGUCUGAAUCCAGAGCCUGCACAGCUGACCUUUGAGACAUUUACAGGCACAGCUCUCCUGGCUAUCCUGAUGGCAACUCCGGUAUUGACCAAGGGAUGAAGCUGUUGUGCUGAGUGAGGACAGGUAGGAAGAGGGCUGAGCUGUCAGGGACAGUAAAGUAAAUCUCUGCUUAUCCUAUUCAAUAUGGUGAAGUCGGACACUGUGAAAUCAAUAAAACCCAAGAUUUUCUUAACCACACUGAUCUCCAUCUUGUUUGUUGCCCCAGACUCAGAGAGGCCACAGUUACAAUAUAUUGCCUUGGGGAGUCCCCAGAGGAGGCCCCCAAAGUAAACAAUUCAUUUGUCCUCCCAACCAGGGUUCGCUCGUAUAUCUUGCCAAUACUUCAUGCUUAAAACCAAACAGCUCAUCUUUGUCUCUAAACUGACUUCUCCCGUCCUAAAUGUUUCUGACAGUUGCUUGGGUUCAUAAACUUGUUCUUUCUCUGCCAUCUUCCCUGUAUCUAAAGUGUUAAGAUUUUGAGAACUUUUUAAAGCAAGGACAAGUCUUACUUUGUUGCCUUCUGCCUAGCAAUAGAUACUGAACUAAUUGUAAAAUGAAAGUGUUUCUAGUGUGGCACUCCCACCGUGCUGGGUCCCAGGUGCUGGGAAAGCAUGGACCUCUGCCUGUUCCCUCUCCAGUUUCACACCCAAGCAUGCCAUGGCUACUGUUGUUUCCCUUCACUGAGACUCUGAUUUUUUCCUUUUUCAUUUCUGUCAGCCACCUUGCUAAGGCGUGUGGUUACCUUCCUCUUUUCUGGGCAGGUAUAGUAGCCUGCUUGGCUAUUCUUGUCUUUUGAUCUGUUCCUGCUUAGACUCCCCCGUGCGGUGGAAGGUUCUCUAUCAGUCCUAUAAUGCUUUAGGUGGUCUCUUGGGAUUUCAAAUUCCAGUUCCAGAUGUUCUCUGGUUGGUUCUUUUAGGCAUCACUUGGUCUUUCUGGCUAAAGAAUAAAUCUUCCAAGGCAAGAACAAGAGUUGUUUUUCUAACAAUAGCCUGUAAUUCAGGUCCAUUGCUGUCAGGUAUCUGACAAUUUUAGAGGGUCCCUUUAUAAUAUGUCCUGAAGAAAUGUUAAGUGACUUAAUUAAAAUUCAUGUCUCGAGGUAUUGGAUCAACCUUUCUUCUCCCCUUUUACAAAUUGCUAUAGAGAUUUUUUUGCUACUGCAAUAUCAUAUGAUAUCAGGUGGUUUCCUGUCCCUGAGAUGUGGGACCUGGAGGGUAGAGGAUGUACCUUGAAGAUGGGGUGCAUCUCUGGGAGGCACCUCAUGGUGGCGACAGCAAUGACCUCAGCCAGCAGAUGAGUGCUCAGCAGAUGAUGAUGCAGCUGGUGCAGUUGAAAAUCUGAAUUUCGGACCCAGCACUUUGCCAGGAGCCAAGCAAGUGGGGGGUCUGAGGGCAGGAACAGUGCUGGGAUGGGGAGACUAGGGCUGGGAGGCUGGAUCUGGGGGAAAAAAAAUUAAGCAUGUAUUGAGCUCCUACUUUACAGAUGACAUUAUGCUUCCCAUUCUGGAGGAAGCCAACCAAAUUAGACACUUUCCUUCCAGGAGGCUGUAACUUAGUUGGAGGAUCGAGGACCUCGGUAGACUUGGCACCUGCCAGUGCCCUGGUGGUUGCCCUCAAUGCAGGGGUCAGAAGCAGGGGUCCAGAAAGGAAGCCCUAACAGUGCUUUGGAAGAAACAUGAUGGUGUCUGUGUGGAUGGGAGAAUGGAAAAGGGAAGCUGGAUAUGUGUGCUAAUUGACUGUUCACAUGAACUGACUGUUGAGAACUAUAGGGAAAAAGAUAUUCUAGAAAAGAUGGAUAGUUAGAGUCAGAGGCCACUGAGAAAUUAAGUAGUGAUUUUUUUUUUAAAGAUUUAUUUACUUUUGCAUAGAAGAACAGGGGUGUUGGCCAGAAGUUCAGGGGGUGAGAGGAUUCACCAGAGACAGUGGGGAGCAGAACUGGCAGAUCUACUGAAAUACACUGCUACAGGGAGCUGCAGGUGAGACAGAAGAGUUCUGCUGCUCCAUGUGGGUCACCUCCCUGGCUGGGGAUUGAACUCAGACCAUUGAGAUGAUAGCGCUGAGACUUAACCCCUGUACCACCAGGGAGGCCCUAAGCAGUGAUUCUUAAGGUGUGUUCCCAAACAGCAGCAUCAGCAUCACUUUGGAACUUGUUAGCAAAUUCUUGGCCUCUGCCCCAGGCCUACUGAAUCAGAAAAUCUGGUGGUGGGACCAGGCAACCUUUGUUUUAACAAGCCCUUCUGGUGAUUCUAAUGCAGGCUGAAGUUAGUUCCACUGGGUAUAGGAUGAGACUCCUAAAGGCCCUAUGACUCUUGAACAAGUCCUUCCAGUUGGAUGAGUCAGGGGAAACGAGGCUGUGAGCAAACUGUGGCAUAAGGACAGGUCCCAUUGUGUGAGGAAGGAGUUUGGGAGCCACGAGUCAGGGGGCUGGGUCCUUGGCAGGGGAAGCUGGAGUGGACAGAGGACAGUAUUGGCAGGAGGACGCCCACGGCACCACACCUGGAUGACCAUGGGUAGCAGUUUCCCAUCAGAUUCCAUCUUCAGCAUCACGAGAGGAGCUGCCAGGUACUGCUUCUCUCCUCGGAUCACGUUGGCUGGAAUUCCAUCGAGCAGGAUGAAGUCAGCCUCAAACAGGGAGCCUUGCUGGGGAAGGAGUUCACGUAUAGCUCGAGAUCAGAGUCGACCACCAGAGGGUCAGGGCAGGGGUGGGGGUGUUUAAAGAUGUUUAUCUGUAUCAAUACCAGAGUCUUGGCAGAACUAGAGCAUCUGGUGCAUUUUAUCUCACUCUAAAGAGAUAGCCUGGGGAGGUGGGCCUCUUCCUCAGGGAUAUGUGGUAGCCAUUCUUAGUUUAGAACCAGAUCUGCUCCAGUUUGCAUUACCAGCAUUGGAAACUAUUGCUUUGUCAAGACAGCGAGUCUCCUUUCCUAUGAUUCUCAUGAUUCCCCUGAUCUCUACUCUCCGUGUUUGGCCUCCACCAACUCAGCAAAUGCUUUCACUUCCUGAUCCUAUCACCUCCUCUACCAAAUAUUCCACUGAAACAAACAAUAUGUUUGUUCCCUUAGCCACCACUAUCACUGAAUCCAGCAAAGGCAUGAACAUACUCACACCUUUCCUGCCUCAUCCUUCUCACAGCUCCUCUCUUCUAAACCCAGGCUCCUUCAGGGAACCUUCCAAUCCCCCAGCUGGAUGGAGCUUUCUUCAUUUUCCGGGCCCAGCACACUGGUGUCCACAGCACUGAUAUUAGCCAGGAAAUGUCAUUAUCCCUGCUAACAUCCCUGACCCGUUCUGUGCUCUAGGAAUCCAUCCUUUUUCUCCUUCUAUAUGAGAGCUCCUUAUAGAUGUUCCUACAUGCCUUAUCUUUGGGUGUUCCAGGACAGGACACUGCCCCCGGGCACAGUGGCUACCACACUCUCCCUUUACUUAUUCAUCCUUGGUCCCUUCCCUUAUUGUUUCUUCUCCCCACAUACAAGGAGAAAGCAAGGCAGGGAGGGAGGGGGUACCUGGAGUUCUUUCUCUAACUGAGUCCGAAGUUCCUCCAUCCCAGGGGGCAGCACCAGCCUGGAGGGCAGAGAGGUGGAGCGUCUCAACAUCAUGGGGUUGGCACCGUUGAGGAACUGGUAGCCGAAAAUCUCAUCAUCCUGCCAGCGCUGAUGGACCAUCUCUGUGGGGUUGAGGGUGGAGUGUAGAAGGAGAAUAUUUACCUUAGGCCGCAUGUCCCUCUCCUCUAGUCCCUCCCCCACCACUGAGAUUCUGUCAUGACCACCCCAUAUUCAGCCCUUGCCUUUUCAUCUCAAGGCCUCUGUGAGAUGAUGAGACACCAUAAGGUCUCAUCUGGAUAGGAAUUAUUGGGCUCUAUGGAGUGUAAUGUUUGGUCAUCUACGGGCAUGAAGAGGUUUAUCAAGACCUGGGGAAACCACUGACCAGCUAGGGCACUCUUCGGGCCCCAGAAGAUCUGAUCAAAAUCCUCCAGACGGUUCCAGGGGCUCAGAAGGGUAUAAACACGCUUGAGGAUAGUCUCCAGAGUCCUAGGAUAGGUGUUGAGGCAUGAACACCUGGGUCAAUUCCUCAGCCCCUCACCGUGUACUAUCAUUCUUGGAUCUCCAAGCCCUUAUUUCACCCUGAGCUCCAGGAUUUUUCUUACCCUGCCUUCUGUGUCCAUUCAAAGUCCAGCCUCUUCUCCUCAUGGAAUCUCAUAUUUGGAGGUAGAUCCUCCGUAGAGCCAGCAGCUAUUGUCAGGGGUAACCCUUCCUUCCAGGUGGCCCAGCUAGGAGAUGGGGACAGGGCUUCAGUGGGCUGUCUGGGUCAGUGGUGGGGACAGGGGCAGGGA